Podarcis lilfordi (Lilford's wall lizard) is the source of this 66-nucleotide non-coding RNA. Lineage: Eukaryota; Metazoa; Chordata; Lepidosauria; Squamata; Lacertidae. The record is from the annotation of a GenBank genome assembly.
GGAGCUCAGUGGAAAGGCAUCUGGUUUCCAUGCAGAAGGUCCCGGGUUCAAUCCCCAGCAUCUCCA